AUUGAACGCUGGCGGCAGGCCUAACACAUGCAAGUCGAACGGUAACAGGAAGCAGCUUGCUGCUUUGCUGACGAGUGGCGGACGGGUGAGUAAUGUCUGGGAAACUGCCUGAUGGAGGGGGAUAACUACUGGAAACGGUAGCUAAUACCGCAUAACGUCGCAAGACCAAAGAGGGGGACCUUCGGGCCUCUUGCCAUCGGAUGUGCCCAGAUGGGAUUAGCUAGUAGGUGGGGUAACGGCUCACCUAGGCGACGAUCCCUAGCUGGUCUGAGAGGAUGACCAGCCACACUGGACCUGAGACACGGCCCAGCCUCUUCCGGGAGGCAGCAGUGGGGACUAUUGCACAAUGGGCGCAAGCCUGAUGCAGCCAUGCCGCGUGUAUGAAGAAGGCCUUCGGUUGUAAAGUACUUUCAGCGGGGAGGAAGGGAGUAAAGUUAAUACCUUUGCUCAUUGACGUUACCCGCAGAAGAAGCACCGGCUAACUCCGUG
RNAcentral lists this ribosomal RNA (489 nucleotides) under uncultured bacterium. RNAcentral describes it as "partial 16S ribosomal RNA". It matches the Rfam family "Bacterial small subunit ribosomal RNA", at positions 30 to 507 of the family's 1533-position model. The record is from RNAcentral.